This 881-nucleotide long non-coding RNA is filed under the name Gallus gallus (chicken). The record is from RNAcentral. Lineage: Eukaryota; Metazoa; Chordata; Aves; Galliformes; Phasianidae.
AUCCAUUCAGAAUACCCUUCCAGCUUCUGUAAGUAAUGAACAUAGCUAUAGUUUUGACAGAAAUGGGUUAACAGGUAACAAACCUGAACCUGUCCCAGAUGGUGGAAAGUUGUCCACGUCUGUGGAGAUGCCACGUGGAGAAUGAGAAGUACACAGCCACACCAAGCUUCUAGAAGCUCAGAUAUUCUUCUUUAAAAUAUUAUACCCUUUCAUCUAGUUGUCCAGCCUUUAACAGCUAGACCAGCAGAAGUAAAGGAGCAAACAAAUGCUUUUAUCAGAGUUAAAUACAAACCAGUUGUAAUAAUUUCCCCAAUUCAUAAUGCAGCCUACGUAGCAGAAACUUUACCCGAACUUACCCUUGUGAGGUGCAAAAUUGAGAAGACAAAACUCAUCCACGGAGUAAAAUUAACAAGCCAUUUAUGACAGCCUCAGUUCAGUAAGUGUAAAGUGUAUGCACUUUAUUAUUGGUCACAACAGGAGAGAUUUUUUUUUUAAUGAAUGACAGUUCAGUUGCCUUCUGUCAGGAUGAAUGUCCCAGUGGCCACAAGCUGCACCUUCACUUCCUGAAUGCCAUGUUUCAGUGGUACUUCCUGCGGCGGUCAUGCUUCAAGUGACUGUAGCUCCAGAUGUAGCUGAGGACAACGUACCCAGCAAGCACCAUACUGAUACCACCGAGGCCCCCUUUCCUCACAUUGAUAUACUUAUUGUAAUACCUGUCAUAACCUCUGCGGAAGGCACCCACGAUGCCGCUGGGGGUGAAGUCCCUCAUGGCCAGCCAGGUGGACAGCUGGCCCACCUUGACGUCCAGCAGCUUCAUGUCCUUCAGGGGAACCGGCGGCUGCGCCAUCUUGUCGUGCUGUGCGCCACCGCGGGGCGAGACG